This 253-nucleotide ribosomal RNA is filed under the name uncultured bacterium. Its description in RNAcentral is "partial 16S ribosomal RNA". It matches the Rfam family "Bacterial small subunit ribosomal RNA", at positions 524 to 776 of the family's 1533-position model. The record is from RNAcentral.
UACGGAGGGAGCUAGCGUUGUCCGGAAUUACUGGGCGUAAAGCGUACGUAGGCGGCUUUGUAAGUUAGAGGUGAAAGCCCGGAGCUCAACUCCGGAACUGCCUUUAAGACUGCAUCGCUAGAAUCCGGGAGAGGUGAGUGGAAUUCCGAGUGUAGAGGUGAAAUUCGUAGAUAUUCGGAAGAACACCAGUGGCGAAGGCGGCUCACUGGCCCGGUACUGACGCUGAGGCACGAAAGCGUGGGGAGCAAACAGG